Molecule: long non-coding RNA, 5602 nt
Filed under: Nicotiana benthamiana
Lineage: Eukaryota; Viridiplantae; Streptophyta; Magnoliopsida; Solanales; Solanaceae
Description: long non-coding RNA (NBEN_LNC015341)
Source: RNAcentral
GGAAAUUUUGAGGCAGCUGCGCAGAGGACAAACAAAGGACGGACCCCCUAGUGUUGUCUUCUCCAGUGGUUCUCCCAUCUUCUCCAAACGACCCACCCCUCCCUUCAGCGUCUUCUCCUCCAUUCACCUCCAAGCUCGCCAAAAUCCAACAACCACCAGUAGCUGAGGCUCACACUACCCCUUGCCGGAAGACGAGUCGCACAGCAACAAACACACACACAACCCCUCGCCGGAAAACGAGUCACAUGGCAACAAUCACAGACCCACGACGAGCUCUCACCUCUCUUCUGGACUGAAGCAAAACAAAAUAGCAGGGGUUGGGAAAUCGACAGUAAACACACCAUUGAACCUUCCUCUUCCUACCAAUUUUCAGUCGCGCACACACAUACAAAGAGUUAAAAAUAACACUUUCUGGUUUGCACUUUCAUUCAUGGAUUUUGUGUGAAGCUUUGUUGGUAUAGCCUGGUUCAGCUGUGUUGCUCGAGGACGAGGUUCGAGGUUUCGCGCCCGAUUUCCUGUCAUCUUUGUUCAGAUUGUUGCCAUUUGAGGUCCGUUCGUUAUUUCGAUUUCGGCUCUAAAUAUUGACAUCUGUUUAAUACAUUUAAGCUGUGAUGAGUAGAAUAUAAUUCUGGUAAUCGCGCGAUUUUCGUGGAUCUUGGCCAAUUAUCGGACCUUACUGUUUUGUUUAAUAUUCUUUCACAUGGUUGGAGCGUAGUUGAAGCUACUUCACCAUUUCUUUGUUGAAAGUGUAAUGCUGUGCGUUUCGAAUUGUUUGAUAUCCGAUUUGAAUUAUCCGACUAAGUAUACACAUGGAGUUAAUUGCCAACUAUUUCAUGGAAAGUUUGUUUGAUGAAAGGUGUUUCACGUAGUAUCUUUAUAUUUUUUUCUUUAGUGAUAUUAAGUGGCGUCAUUUUGAGUGUUAGUUAGCAUUUGUUUUAGUUUAUUCAUUGUGACGUGACUGUGAUUUGUUAGAUUUUUGAAAAUGUUUAAUUACGAUUAAAUCAGUUUGAGCCUUUGUGUAUGUUAAUUUAAAUCGAUGUUAGAAUGAGAAUUAGGGUAUAUAUUCACUACCUUGAAAAUCGAGAGUUUUAAUGGCAUUUCAAUUGCUGGAAAUUCGCAUCUCUUGUUGUUCUUUUUCAACCUUUGUAUUGCUUGAAUUCCUUUUGGUUAAUAUUGAAGACUUUGACAGAAUGUUGAAUAUUUGAUGCACAACUCCUCUUCGUUGUCUCAUUUGAUUAUUUAAUAAGGUUGACAGAAUGAGAAGUUUGAGCAUUAUGCUCUAAUAGUAGCUGCUGAUUAGCUUAUGGAACGUUAGUUGUCUCUGCUUGGAAAUGAUAGUGGCUUCAUUAGUAUUUUAUAUGCAUUUUUAUAUAAUUGUCUUCAAGUUUUGUUCAUUUUGUGACUUUGUCAAAUAUCACUGGCCAUUUUGCCAAUUUGAGUUUGACCUCCAUUAUAAGAUAAGUCUUCAAGUCCACUGUAUAGCUAACGAGUUUUUAUUCAAAUUUCGAUCAAUGAAGUGGAUGGUUAGAUGUCCCAGAAGUAACUUUGUCGAACUGGCUUAGUUUGUCUUUUGAUACAAUCGAAAGAGUAAACCAACUAAUCUUUAAGCGAGGUGAGCUAUAUUAGAUAAGACAUAGUCUAUGGCCCUUCGAGCUUUUAGCUGAAAUAUUCUUCAAAGAUGGAAUUGAGGUGCGCCAUGCCUAAAAAAAAUAACAAUUGCAUGGUCCUCAAUUUAAUUAAUCUUGUAUCGGCCCUUUAAUUAAUCUUGUGUUGGUACUUAGAGAUUCAGGGCACGCCAUUUAGCAAAUUUCACGGCUUUCCCGCAAAGAUAAUUACACAUUAGUCUCUUUUAGGCGGGUCUUUACUAAUUUUAUCUUCUUAAGUACGGGUGCGCAUUUAUGUGACCCAAAUCCAAAAUCUCAACGAAGUUGUCAAAAACCACGGUUGCAUUUAUGUGACGUGGUUCGAGACAUGUUUUAACGACGUUGCAAUUCUCCUUAAAAAUAAUUAUGAUAAAAGUGGUUAAAAAAUUUAAAAUGCAUAUAGGUUCAUAACUGUAUAAAAUCAUAUAAUUUAAGCCGAAUAUGACAGUUGAGCGACUGUGCUAGAACCACGGAUCUCGGGAAUGCCUAACACUUUCUCCCGGUUAACAGAAUUUCUUACUCGGACUUUUGGUUCGCGGACUAUUAAACAGAGUAAAAUUGAGAGAAUCUUACUAGUGAAAAUCCUCACGGGUAUCAUAAGGCCAUAGGAGCUGAGAGAAACAAAAAAAAUGAAAAAUAUAAGAGAGUCUUAUUGUGAAAACCCUCCCGAGCACCUUAAGGCGACUGUAUGUUGAGAGAAAAGAACAAAACGAGAGAGGCUUAAUGGUGAAGACCCUUUGGGCGCUACAAGUCGAAUAAGGAUUGUGAAUCAGAUUGGAUAAUCGGAGCAUUGCAGUCUAAGUUCACGGUCUAGAGGAGUGUAACAAGAGUUGAAUAUCAGACUUGCUUAACGAAAUAGGCUGUAGGUGCACGUCAUGGCCAUUAGAGUUAGUACCCGCAUUUUAGUGUUAGGAAUCAUCUCCUUUCAUGGUCCUCUACUCUGUUCCUUUUGUCUUGUUUAUUCCCUCCUCUUGAGUCUAUGGGGUCAAAACAAGUGAGAAAUGACUUCAAAAUCUGCCACCAGCUUUCCAAUUGCAAAAAAGGGGACCUGUUUGUCACAUCAAAGCACCAUGGUCAGGAAAGAACAACAGGCACAUUGAGCUGGUAACAAUCAACAUGCUUUGGGAUUCGUUUGAAAUACAAAUGCUCGGUAUAUAUCAAAUCAUGGACAAUGCAACAGAAUGAGGGCUAGGGUAAAUUGAUCAAAAGGGUUUUCUGUGACAAGAUGUAAACCGGUGACAAGCAAGAUCUUCCAAGAAGAAAUCGAAGUUAUCAUGGCUAGCGAUAGAGCAAUUGACCUCAAGGUCAGAGCCAGUUAUUUGGGUCAGAAAAGAACAUCAUAUACAAUGUAGUUGGUAAAUAUGCUUUAGGGAUUAGGUGAAACACAAGGGUUUGUCAGAUGUCGGUUCAGGAACAAUGCAAUACACGGAAGGUAUUGGGUUCGAAUGAGAAGAGGUAUUUUUUGGGUUAAGGUUUACAACGAAGCGGUUGGUCAAGGGGAAAACAUGGUCUUCAAAUGAAAGUCAAUCAUCAUAACAAGUGAAGGAGUAACACACCUCAAGGUCAAGGCCAGUGGUUCAAGUCAAUAAAAAACAUCAUAAACACGGAGUUAGGGCAAGGGACAUGCUUUAGAAUUCAUGUGGAACACAAAGGUUGGGAAUAUUUCAGUUCAUCAGCAAUGCAACAAAUAGAGGAUUUUGGGUCUGAACGGGGAAGAGGUAUUUUUUGUGAUAAGGGUGACAGAGAAGUUGGUCAGCCAAUAAGCAAUCCAUGUCUUUCAAGAUGAAAUCAAAGCUGCCAUGGUAUGUGAAAAGGCGCAACAAAAAGAUGGGAGGGCCACAAUGGUUCAGGGGUUCAGCCAAGCAUCGUAAACUGACCGGGUACUCUCAGAAAGGAUGCAAGGGUCCGGCGAAAGAGUCAGAAACGCAACACGAAAAUGGGAAUGUUCGCAAGGGUUAGCCAAGCAUCGUAAACUUGCUGGGUAACCUCAGGAAAGGAUGUGAAAAUUAUAGCAAAGGGUCGGAAAUGCAACACAAAGAUGAGGAGAAGAAUGAAGGUACAGGGGUCAGAGGGUCAGCCAAGCAUAAUACAUUGACUUGGCAAUCUUGAGAAAAGUGCGAGGAUUCUGGCAAAGGGCAAGAAAUGUAACACAAUCAUGGGGAGCAAAGUAAAGCCGUAAAGAUUCGAGGGGUCAGCCAACCAACUCAGACAACUCAUCAUCAACAUGAAAAUUUGAACAAAACAGAACAUGACAGUGAGGAGGCAUCUUCCAACAAGAAUGCCGCAAACUAACCACCACUUUUCAAACUGACUAGUUUUCUUUGAUUGACAUAUGGGCAUAAAAAUUCCUGAAGAGCCUGUGUGAGGCCAUUCAAAGGGGAAACCAGGCACAUGGAAAGUAUGAUCAAAACCUCAGGGCCCAUCUGAAAAUGGAUCUAGUUCAAACUCAAAAGGGACAUAGUUCGUCAUAAAUAUCCUCCCCAGCAAAGAGCACAAAGGAACAAAUUUUAACUAUCAAACCCCAAUAGGAACAAUUGAGGGUUGAAUUAAGCAUAGAAGUUGAAAUGGAGCGCAGCUUAAUACUCAAACAGGCACAGGUAGCAUGGGCAAGCACCAGCACCCUCCCCAGCAAGAGUCGCAGAAACUCCUAAACAAUAAUCACUAGCAGAAACAACCAGAAGUUAGAAUUAACAUUUAAGUUGGAACCCUCAGGACCCUCAUGAAAAAUGGGCUUAGCUUAAUAAUAGUCGGGUGGCAUGGUCAAACCCAAAUAAUUCCCCAAUAGGAGUAAUCAGGACCCGCUUGGACAUUGGGAUUAAAUCGUAAGAGUUGUCAGGACCCCCUGGAUAAUUGAAUAUAGCUCCCAGCAGACACAUUUUGUCGUCAAAUUAAGAGUUGUCAGGACCCGCAUGGAUAAUAGGAAGUAGUUUUGAUCACUAGUCACCAGCAAACCCCCAGCAAAUAUAACUCAUAAUAAGACAUAGUGGAAAAUAAUACCUCUUGAGAAACGUAACAUUGUUCAAAAGUUGUCAUCAGCUAAGAAUUGUCAGGGCCCUCUUGGAUAAUAAGACUUAGCUUAGAUUUAGAGAUAUUUGGUAAGAGGAUAUGAUUAACACUCACAUAUCCGCCCAGCACCAAACUGGGGCAAGAAGAAUUUUUUGUGUUUUGUUUAUUUUGUUGUGAUCAGGUACACAGGCAGCAGUUUCAGGGAAUAUUUUUCAAAAUUCAAGUUUUGAUAAUCAACAACAAAAUAAGCUCAUGUCAUGAAUGCAAGUCAACAGUCCGAGGUAAUCAACAAAAGUUCGUCACAAUAAAGAAAAAAAUGAAGAAAAAGGAAGGCAAGUAGGAAGUUAAUCCAAAUAAAAGCAGAUGAAAGAUGUGACUUUCUAAAGGCAUGGUUAAGGUUGCGAACGUUACAUGUCCAAUCUUAAUUAAGAAAAGCCGAAGAAGAACAAGCUAGUACCUGCACAUAACAAGCGUCAAGGUUGAAAUCUAAAGUCUUAAUGAAGAACCACUCGAGACUGAAGAUCAAGCUUCAGAAGACUUAUAGAUAGGAAUCUUGUAACUCGUAGUUGACAAGUUUAGAUAUUCUUUUUCAUUCUUUUGAUUUUGAUGUGAUAACAGACCGUGGAUCGGAACCUCGGCGGAAUGGCACCUCGACCGGAUCUUCACCUCUGCAUAUUCCUUCAUCUUACACACUCAUGAAUUACAGUACCUGAUUCUUCUUUAGCCGAGGAUAUGUAGGCAAUCUCUGAAGCACGGUGCGGUCAAGCUUUUUCAAAAUGCUUCCCAAGGAGUAUUCAAGCAGGCAAAAAUCGCUCGUAUCCAUUCACUUUAUCUUUGCACGAAAACCCUUCGGGUUUCUGAGUAAAGAGGAGCAGCUGUGAGCACGUGAUUUUUGCCCUACCUGAGAAUAACUCCUAAAAAUAGACCAAAACACUUUAUUUAUUAAUUUUAGG